GUAAUCACUUGUCCCCUAAUUAGGGACUAGUAUGAACGGCCAAAUGAGGGCCUGCCUGUCUCCUGGGGCCAACCAAUGAAACUGAUCUCCUAGUACAAAAGCUGGGAUAGACCCAUAAGACGAGAAGACCCUGUGGAGCUUUAAACUCAACCUACUGCCCACCCCAAACGUCCACGGACCCAAACACCUCUAAUAGCUUAAGUUUUAAGUUGGGGCGACUACGGAACAAAAAAAAACUUCCAUGCAUCAGAGUAACCCCGUCCCAGGCCAACAAGCCCACGACACCAAAGAUAAACCCGACCCAGUAAAACUGAUCAACGAACCAAGCUACCCCAGGGAUAACAGCGCCAUCCUCUUCAAGAGUCCCUAUCGCCAAGAGGGUUUACGACCUCGAUGUUGGAUCAGGACACCCAGGUGGUGCAGCUGCUACCAACGGUUCGUUUGUUCAACGAUGAAAGUCCUACGUGAU
RNAcentral lists this ribosomal RNA (469 nucleotides) under Gymnodactylus amarali. Its description in RNAcentral is "partial 16S ribosomal RNA". It matches the Rfam family "Bacterial large subunit ribosomal RNA", at positions 1961 to 2604 of the family's 2925-position model. The record is from RNAcentral. Lineage: Eukaryota; Metazoa; Chordata; Lepidosauria; Squamata; Gekkonidae.